UACGUAGGGGGCAAGCGUUGUCCGGAUUUAUUGGGCGUAAAGAGCGCGUAGGCGGUUUGGCAGGUCUGCUGUGAAAACUCGAGGCUCAACCUCGAGACGCCGGUGGAAACCAUCAGGCUAGAGUCCGGAAGAGGAGAGUGGAAUUCCUGGUGUAGCGGUGAAAUGCGCAGAUAUCAGGAAGAACACCCGUGGCUAAGGCGGCUCUCUGGGACGGUACUGACGCUGAGGCGCGAAAGCGUGGGGAGCGAACAGG
This 253-nucleotide ribosomal RNA is filed under the name uncultured bacterium. RNAcentral describes it as "partial 16S ribosomal RNA". It matches the Rfam family "Bacterial small subunit ribosomal RNA", at positions 524 to 776 of the family's 1533-position model. The record is from RNAcentral.